Molecule: long non-coding RNA, 682 nt
Organism: Fopius arisanus
Lineage: Eukaryota; Metazoa; Arthropoda; Insecta; Hymenoptera; Braconidae
Exons: 3
Source: RefSeq, a predicted model, not a curated record
UUCGUUUUGGGAGCAUCAACCCAUUCUGCGACCCCGGAAUCAUAGCAGUCCACUUUUCUGAGGCGAAAGAGGUGAAAUCCAGCUGGUAUUAGUAUUUUCUUGGUUUCGAGGAAAUCAAAAGAAGGAGGCAAGUGUUUACUUACAUUCCGGAAUUCAGGAUCCAGAAUAUUCAGGACGCAUUGAAUUCUCUGGAAGAGUUGGCCCAACUGCUCAGAGGAAAUUUCCGUUCAGCAGGUGUAACCCUGGAGUUAGCGGCGGAGACUUCUGAAGAAUUCAUAGAAGCACAAAGACUUCGAUGUGGUGUUACGAUGCACAGAGGAUUGAAUUUUAAUUUCAGCAAAAGAGACCGAGCAUUCAGUUUCUUGGCUGAAAGAGAUUUACACCUGGCUAUUGCGGUAUGAAUAAUCUUGACAUGCAGGCUGUUGUCCGGGUAAUGACACGGACCAGAUAGUAAGGGAAAUUAUAAAAGGGUUGGAUAAUGCAAAAGAAAGGUUCCAAGAAGAAGCCGGGGAGUACGACUAAAGAAUGAGUUGCAUAGGCUUGGGCAGAGAUACGUUGUAACUCUAGCAGAAGGAAGGUUUUUCUUGGAUUAAUCAAAACCGAUAAUCAUCUACUGAUUGGGCUCCGUUGCCAAAUCGCUAUUUGGUACAAUCGACGCCUCAGAUAUGACAUAAAUUGCGGA